This 409-nucleotide ribosomal RNA is filed under the name actinobacterium enrichment culture clone LiUU-16-352. Its description in RNAcentral is "bacterial SSU rRNA". It matches the Rfam family "Bacterial small subunit ribosomal RNA", at positions 509 to 916 of the family's 1533-position model. Lineage: Bacteria; Bacillati; Actinomycetota; Actinomycetes. The record is from RNAcentral.
CAGCCGCCGCGGUAAUACGUAGGGGGCGAGCGUUGUCCGGAAUUAUUGGGCGUAAAGGGCUCGUAGGUGGUUCGUUAAGUUAGAUGUGAAAUUGUGCGGCUUAACCGCGCAUUGGCAUCUGAUACUGGCGGGCUUGAGGCAGGUGGAGGAGAAUGGAAUUCCUGGUGUAGCGGUGGAAUGCGCAGAUAUCAGGAGGAACACCGAUUGCGAAGGCAGUUCUCUGGGCCUGUUCUGACGCUGAGGAGCGAAAGCGUGGGGAGCGAACAGGAUUAGAUACCCUGGUAGUCCACGCUGUAAACGAUGGAUGCUAGGUGUGGGGUCCGCUUGUGGGUUCCGUGCCGUAGCUAACGCAUUAAGCAUCCCGCCUGGGGACUACGGCCGCAAGGCUAAAACUCAAAGGAAUUGACGG